CCUACGGGUGGCUGCAGUGAGGAAUAUUGGUCAAUGGGCGCAAGCCUGAACCAGCCAAGUCGCGUGAGGGAUGACGGUCCUAUGGAUUGUAAACCUCUUUUGUCGGGGAGCAAGGCCCGCCACGUGUGGCGGGAAGGAGAGUACCCUAAGAAAAAGCAUCGGCUAACUCCGUGCCAGCAGCCGCGGUAAUACGGAGGAUGCGAGCUUUAUCCGGAUUUGUUGGGUUUAAAGGGUACGUGGGGGGAAGGUUAAGUCAGCGGUAAAAUUGGGGGGUUCAACACCGGCCUGCCGUUGAAACUGGUCUUCUUGAGUGAGCGAGAAGUAUGCGGAAUGCGUGGUGUAGCGGUGAAAUGCAUAGAUAUCACGCAGAACUCUGAUUGCGAAGGCAGCAUACCGGCGCUCAACUGACGCUGAGGCACGAAAGCGUGGGGAUCGAACAGGAUUAGAUACCCGGGUAGUC
Molecule: ribosomal RNA, 460 nt
Filed under: uncultured bacterium
Lineage: Bacteria
Description: partial 16S ribosomal RNA
Rfam family: Bacterial small subunit ribosomal RNA
Source: RNAcentral